This 401-nucleotide ribosomal RNA is filed under the name Bacillus sp. Bisk4. RNAcentral describes it as "bacterial SSU rRNA". It matches the Rfam family "Bacterial small subunit ribosomal RNA", at positions 1100 to 1502 of the family's 1533-position model. The record is from RNAcentral. Lineage: Bacteria; Bacillati; Bacillota; Bacilli; Caryophanales; Bacillaceae.
AACCCUUGAUUUUAGUUGCCAGCAUUCAGUUGGGCACUCUAAGGUGACUGCCGGUGACAAACCGGAGGAAGGUGGGGAUGAAGUCAAAUCAUCAUGCCCCUUAUGACCUGGGCUACACACGUGCUACAAUGGACAGAACAAAGGGCAGCGAAACCGCGAGGUUAAGCCAAUCCCACAAAUCUGUUCUCAGUUCGGAUCGCAGUCUGCAACUCGACUGCGUGAAGCUGGAAUCGCUAGUAAUCGCGGAUCAGCAUGCCGCGGUGAAUACGUUCCCGGGCCUUGUACACACCGCCCGUCACACCACGAGAGUUUGUAACACCCGAAGUCGGUGAGGUAACCUUUUAGGAGCCAGCCGCCGAAGGUGGGACAGAUGAUUGGGGGAAGUCGAAUCGACGUGGGCG